Molecule: long non-coding RNA, 247 nt
Filed under: Carica papaya (papaya)
Lineage: Eukaryota; Viridiplantae; Streptophyta; Magnoliopsida; Brassicales; Caricaceae
Description: long non-coding RNA (CPAP_LNC015893)
Source: RNAcentral
UGUCCCUUUAUUUUUCUUUUAUUUCUUAUUUUCUUUGCAUCACAUUGGGAACAAUGUGUGGCUUAAGUGUGGGGGUGGGACAUACAGCAUUUUUAGGUUCCACUUUGAUAUUUUUCUAUAUCCUCUCGGCCAAACUAAAAAUUUUCUCACGACACCCACUGAUGCACACUUUAGCCUUAGGCACAGACAUAUACACUUUCAACAGUUUUUAACCCCAUCUUUUUCACUACUAUCUUAGUUAUUCUCA